CCUACGGGUGGCAGCAGUAGGGAAUAUUGCUCAAUGGGCGAAACCCUGAAGCAGCAACGCCGCGUGGAGGAUGAAGGUCUUCGGAUUGUAAACCCCUUUUGUUAGAGAAGAUAAUUAAGGUAUCUAACCAAUAAGCAAUGGCCAAUACCGUGCCAGCAGCCGCGGUAAUACGGCGGGUGCGAGCGUUACUCGGAAUCACUGGGCGUAAAGAGCGCGUAGGCGGGAUGUCAAGUCAGAUGUGAAAUCUUAGGGCUUAACCAUAGAAUUGCAUUUGAAACUGGUAGUCUGGAGUAUGGGAGAGGUAGGUGGAAUUCUUGGUGUAGGGGUAAAAUCCGUAGAGAUCAAGAGGAAUACUCAUUGCGAAGGCGACCUGCUAGAACAUAACUGACGCUGAUGCGCGAAAGUGUGGGUAGCAAACAGGAUUAGAUACCCGUGUAGUC
Molecule: ribosomal RNA, 440 nt
Filed under: uncultured bacterium
Lineage: Bacteria
Description: partial 16S ribosomal RNA
Rfam family: Bacterial small subunit ribosomal RNA
Source: RNAcentral